GUGGCAGGUGAGAAUGGAAAACAUUCAUAGCAUGUACAACAGUAAUGGCUAUUCCUAUUGUGACCCAGUGUCUGCGCUUGAGAACCUGUACAGAUCCCUCCUUCCAAGAGUAAGCAAGGACUGCUGGGAGUUGCUCUCAGACAAGCUGCUAAGAAGAUUCUCAAAGCAGUGGAGGGGCCUGGAAGCAGUCUGGACCAAACAAGUCACUUGGAAAGGAUACUUUUGAGCUGCCUGAAAAGUCUUGUCACAAAACACACGCAUGUGCACAUGGAGACUGAAAGACAACCUCAGGAGACAUCCACCUUGUUUUCUAAGACAGAGUGUCUACUAGUCUGGAUCUAGGAAGCAGACUAGGCUGGCUAGCCAGUGUUGCUAGGGCCGGUCUUUUCUCUGCUUCCCCAGCACUGAGAUUACAGGUGUAUCCCUCACGUCCAGAUUUCUAUGUGGAUUCUGAAGAUCCAGCUCAGGUCCUCAUGCUCGCAGAACAAGAAUGUUAGGACUUGAGCUAUCUCCACUGUCCCACCCUUGGUGUGGGACAAUUGUCCAUAUUUGUCAAUUAUAUUUUAAAUAAAUGCUGAUUGG
Molecule: non-coding RNA, 582 nt
Organism: Myodes glareolus (Bank vole)
Lineage: Eukaryota; Metazoa; Chordata; Mammalia; Rodentia; Cricetidae
Source: RefSeq, a predicted model, not a curated record